CUCAGAACGAACGCUGGCGGCAGGCUUAACACAUGCAAGUCGAACGCCCCGCAAGGGGAGUGGCAGACGGGUGAGUAACGCGUGGGAAUCUACCUAGUUCUACGGAACAACAGUUGGAAACGACUGCUAAUACCGUAUACGCCCUAAGGGGGAAAGAUUUAUCGGAAUUAGAUGAGCCCGCGUAAGAUUAGCUAGUUGGUGGGGUAAUGGCCUACCAAGGCGACGAUCUUUAGCUGGUCUGAGAGGAUGAUCAGCCACACUGGGACUGAGACACGGCCCAGACUCCUACGGGAGGCAGCAGUGGGGAAUAUUGGACAAUGGGCGCAAGCCUGAUCCAGCCAUGCCGCGUGAGUGAUGAAGGCCUUAGGGUUGUAAAGCUCUUUCAGUGGGGAAGAUAA
RNAcentral lists this ribosomal RNA (398 nucleotides) under barley rhizosphere bacterium LJ17. RNAcentral's name for it is "bacterial SSU rRNA". It matches the Rfam family "Bacterial small subunit ribosomal RNA", at positions 23 to 451 of the family's 1533-position model. The record is from RNAcentral.